RNAcentral lists this unclassified non-coding RNA (633 nucleotides) under uncultured Cryptococcus. RNAcentral describes it as "sequence contains ITS1, 5.8S rRNA gene and ITS2". The stretch from base 155 to 308 matches the Rfam family "5.8S ribosomal RNA". Lineage: Eukaryota; Fungi; Basidiomycota; Tremellomycetes. The record is from RNAcentral.
AAGUCGUAACAAGGUUUCCGUAGGUGAACCUGCGGAAGGAUCAUUAGUGAACGCCCUCACGGGCUUAUAACUAUUCCAAACCUCUGUGAACCGUGCCCUUCGGGGCUAUUUUACAAACAUGGUGUAAUGAACGUCAUAUAUCAUAACAAAACAAAACUUUCAACAACGGAUCUCUUGGCUCUCGCAUCGAUGAAGAACGCAGCGAAAUGCGAUAAGUAAUGUGAAUUGCAGAAUUCAGUGAAUCAUCGAAUCUUUGAACGCACCUUGCGCCCUCUGGUAUUCCGGAGGGCAUGCCUGUUUGAGUGUCAUGUAGACUCAAUCCCUCGGGUUUCCGAGGAGAUGGGACUUGGGUGUUGCCGCUCUGCCGGCUCGCCUUAAAAGACUUAGCGGGAUAGCACCGUAGUCGGCGUAAUAAGUUUCGUCGGUGAAGGUUGUGAUGACUGCUUACAAUCGCCCUCGGGCAAUUUUUGACUCUGACCUCAAAUCAGGUAGGACUACCCGCUGAACUUAAGCAUAUCAAUAAGCGGAGGAAAAGAAACUAACAAGGAUUCCCCUAGUAACUGCGAGUGAAGCGGGAAAAGCUCAAAUUUAAAAUCUGGUGGCCUUUGGCCAUCCGAGUUGUAAUUUAGAGAA